GAAUGAUACACACUGAGUUCAUGAUAGUGUUUAUCUUACAGAGAGAGGGAUAGACAGAGAAGAAUGAGAUGAGGAAGGAAGACAGGGAACCUCAACUAUCAGGCAGAGUUCAGGACUUGAUGGGAACAUAAUCAAGGAUUUAGAAUGUACUCGUCCCAGACUGCGUCCAUGUGGUCACCGGUGCGGAAAGAAUCCUAUACUACUUAGGACGGUGACAGGCCUGCAGCGGGCGGCCGUAGGCGACUCCUCCUCCCUGCCCCCUUCCCGCUUCUCCUCCCUCUGCACCUCCCCUUACCCUCUCCUCCUCCC
Molecule: long non-coding RNA, 309 nt
Filed under: Equus asinus (donkey)
Lineage: Eukaryota; Metazoa; Chordata; Mammalia; Perissodactyla; Equidae
Description: lncRNA (ENSEASG00005027547.1)
Source: RNAcentral